Molecule: transfer RNA, 72 nt
Filed under: Paludibacteraceae bacterium
Lineage: Bacteria; Pseudomonadati; Bacteroidota; Bacteroidia; Bacteroidales; Paludibacteraceae
Description: tRNA-Cys
Rfam family: tRNA
About the family: Transfer RNA (tRNA) molecules are approximately 80 nucleotides in length. Their secondary structure includes four short double-helical elements and three loops (D, anti-codon, and T loops).
Source: RNAcentral
GGUUCGGUAGCCAAGUGGUAAGGCAAGUGACUGCAAAUCUCUCAUGCGUUGGUUCAAAUCCGACCCGAACCU